GAUGAACGCUGGCGGCGUGCCUAAUACAUGCAAGUCGAGCGAACAGACGAGGAGCUUGCUCCUCUGACGUUAGCGGCGGACGGGUGAGUAACACGUGGAUAACCUACCUAUAAGACUGGGAUAACUUCGGGAAACCGGAGCUAAUACCGGAUAAUAUAUUGAACCGCAUGGUUCAAUAGUGAAAGACGGUUUUGCUGUCACUUAUAGAUGGAUCCGCGCCGCAUUAGCUAGUUGGUAAGGUAACGGCUUACCAAGGCGACGAUGCGUAGCCGACCCGAGAAGGUGAUCGGCCACACAGAGACUGAGACGCAGUCCAGACUCCUACGGGAGGCAGCAGUAGGGAAUCUACCGCAAUGGGCGAAAGCCUGACGGAGCAACGCCGCGUGAGUGAUGAAGGUCUUCGGAUCGUAAAACUCUGUUAUUAGGGAAGAACAAAUGUGUAAGUAACUAUGCACGUCUUGACGGUACCUAAUCAGAAAGCUACGGCUAACUACGUG
Molecule: ribosomal RNA, 497 nt
Filed under: uncultured bacterium
Lineage: Bacteria
Description: partial 16S ribosomal RNA
Rfam family: Bacterial small subunit ribosomal RNA
Source: RNAcentral